GUGUUUCCUGACAUGCCGAACAUGAGACCCCAGGAUGGAUUUGUCCAGGAAGUCUAGAGAAGACUUUUGUGUUGAGGAGAGACUGGGCUUGGUUGCUUUGCUGAUUGUGUCUUUCCCUUCUGAUCGCUUUGGCUGAAGACGACCCACAAUAACACUGGAAUAAAGAUGUAGUCAAGAGAAGGAAACAGAUAGCAUUGGCUGAAGUGUACUACUUAAGUGAAAGGUCUGAUGUGAAAAAAGUACAAGCAAACUGGACAUGCCAAGACUCGAUGCCUUAGAUGGUGAUCAUAUCAAAACUGUACAGGGAUUUCUUCCUUCUUCCGGACUUUGAGACGCGUGAGGAGCUUUAUUACCCAGACAUCCCAUUCCUCUGGCAAGAGCAGCAGGAGGAAGCCCAGGCCAAUAAUGAUGAUGGCAAUUACUCGGACACUGUUGAAGACAAUUUCACUGGUGUAGUGAUCAACAACUGUGUGGAACAUUGAACGGGUGUUAUUACAUGAGAAAGCAUUAGGUAUCCCCUUCCCUCCCCCUUGCCUCCCUGGCUCUGAGGGCUGGCUGGUGCAGGAGAACAUGACUGUGGAGCCUCUAGGGCUCUGCAGUCUCUUGGCCUUCCCUAAAGUUCAGAAAACUGACAAUGUACCAGUUGAAUGCCCCAGUGUACUUGAUGAACACCUGCAAUGUUAUUUACCAAGGCAAGCAGAAUUACUAAUACAUAUUUGCUCUAAAAUGUAAGCACUUCUAUUUGUUUCAAUUUAGUGUUAAGCCUGCCUUGAACUAAAUUAUUAAGAAUUGAUUUCUACUCAUCCAUGAGAAGCAUGACUUCAAAUCUAGGUGUUUUUUUUUUUUCAGUAUGCUGGCUUCUUUGGACAGUAAGUGGAAAAGAAAUUCUAGAGAUGAUGAACAUUUAUGUAAUGUUAUACAUUACAUAUUUAACACAAAGUAUACAUUUUUAAUCAGUGUCAUCUUUGUGAGUCUUUGAGAGAAGAUGCAAAACGUG
Molecule: long non-coding RNA, 997 nt
Organism: Calidris pugnax (ruff)
Lineage: Eukaryota; Metazoa; Chordata; Aves; Charadriiformes; Scolopacidae
Exons: 3
Source: RefSeq, a predicted model, not a curated record